This 334-nucleotide unclassified non-coding RNA is filed under the name soil metagenome. RNAcentral's name for it is "partial contains 5.8S ribosomal RNA, internal transcribed spacer 2, and large subunit ribosomal RNA". The stretch from base 1 to 120 matches the Rfam family "5.8S ribosomal RNA", at positions 35 to 154 of the family's 154-position model. The record is from RNAcentral.
GAUGAAGAACGCAGCGAAAUGCGAUAAGUAAUGUGAAUUGCAGAAUUCCGUGAAUCAUCGAAUCUUUGAACGCACAUUGCGCCCCCUGGUAUUCCGGGGGGCAUGCCUGUCCGAGCGUCAUUGCAACCUUCAAGCGCGGCUUGUGUGUUGGGUCUCGUCCCCCGUGGACGGGCCCGAAAGGCAGUGGCGGCGUCCCGACAUGGUGCCCGAGCGUAUGGGAAUCCUCUUCCGCUCGAAUCGGCCCAUGCGGCGCUGGUCGUAACCAAAUUUUUUACCGGUUGACCUCGGAUCAGGUAGGGAUACCCGCUGAACUUAAGCAUAUCAAUAAGCGAGA